RNAcentral lists this long non-coding RNA (379 nucleotides) under Chinchilla lanigera (long-tailed chinchilla). Its description in RNAcentral is "lncRNA (ENSCLAG00000028520.1)". The record is from RNAcentral. Lineage: Eukaryota; Metazoa; Chordata; Mammalia; Rodentia; Chinchillidae.
GGCUUAUCCAGGUGGAGGGGUUGUGCACCCUGGCAUUUGCUCCAACAGGGAAAUGCGAUGAGCAGCUAUAUCCCGCUGGGCUAAAUCAGAAGGGGCUCACACUCAUCUUUCCAUUUGGAGACCAAAUUGAUUUCUCAGAACUCAGGAGCAUUGAUGGUACCUCUCAUCUAUGUCAUCCUAGAAUUCUAGUUAUUUUUUCCUUCUGUCGUGUGACCCAAAUAAAUUCUGUCUUCCUGAGGAAUGGGAGAGUAUUUAGCAAUUUGUUUACAGUUAUCAGACAUCAAAUGAGUAAAUCUAGAAACUUCCUUUUAACCACAUGGUUUAUAUUGGAAGAAAUAUGUAAAGUAAUAUAGCUGUGAAGUGAUCUUGUUUGGAGGGU